UGGUUACCAACUUUGUUCCUAAUUUAUUUCAAACUACUCCAAAUAGUAGGAUUUUCCGUGAUCAAGACGUGUACUCAUGUCGACUCUACCAACACAGCCAAAAUACAUACAUCCAUGUGAAAUUUCUUUCCAAGUACGAACACAUUUGAUCUUUAGAGAAGGGUGUUCUCAUCAUAUUAGUACACUUCUUCAUAAAUCUCAGGGAUGAGGGGACAUACAACUUGGAUGCAAUCAAAGAGGAUUUGGAGGAUUGUUAUUUUGGCCUCCUGAAACCUAUGGAUUCAAAAGAACGGAAAAAAUAUUGAAGCACAUCAAUCACUCCAUUCAAGCUUGAAGGUUGCUCUUAAAGAGGAUUUGGAUCUUCUUCCUCAUAGAAUUUGAAGCAAACAUGGUGAUUACUUCCAUGAGUGGCUUUGUGUAAACCUUUAACAUGUUAACAUGUUAUGCAUGUUGGGUGAAAUUGGUAUUGGUAGAGUAUGUACAUGUAAUCUUGGAUAUAUUCUUAUCAUAGGUUUUUUGGUAUCCCACCCCCUAUUUUGUACCAUACUCAUACCCAUUUUUAAUGAGAAGAAAAUAUACCGUUGAACAAUUAUUCCAUGGUCCAUCAUUUAAAAAAACAUAAAUGUGCUUAUAUAUAUCCACAUAAAAUAAUGUAACACAUUUUCGCAAAAAGGAAGGAGAAUGUAAUACAUUUUAUCCUAUAGGGAGUUUGAGAGAGAUCGUUUAACACACAUAUGCAUGUUCUACUUUCAAGUUUACACAUUGUUGUACUUAAGCAUACAAGUCAUCAUGCUAUCUAGAUAGUAGGCUUCAUCUCUCACAAGUCACCUAUGAUUAAUGACCUUGAAAAAGGUCUCCAAUAGUGGACUAAUUAGUGUCGUGUACCUAGUGUACUCAAUAUGGCGUGGUUAGUGAAUGUAAGUUGGCACGUGAGGAUAUGAGCGAAGAGAUGGUAUGGGCGGGUCAAGCCAUGUAUAUUUUCUUAUCGUUGUN
RNAcentral lists this long non-coding RNA (993 nucleotides) under Hordeum vulgare. RNAcentral's name for it is "long non-coding RNA (HVUL_LNC001593)". The record is from RNAcentral. Lineage: Eukaryota; Viridiplantae; Streptophyta; Magnoliopsida; Poales; Poaceae.